Molecule: ribosomal RNA, 376 nt
Filed under: Sexangularia sp. CB-2014
Lineage: Eukaryota; Tubulinea; Elardia; Arcellinida
Description: partial Bacterial large subunit ribosomal RNA
Rfam family: Bacterial large subunit ribosomal RNA
Source: RNAcentral
AAUGCCUAGGCUCUCAGAGGCGACGAAGGACGUGAUAAGCUGCGAAAAUCCGCGGGGAGCUGCACAUGAGCAUUGAUCCGCGGGUGUCCGAAUGGGGCAACCCGGCUGGUUGAAGGCCAGUCACACCGCAAGGUGGGCGAACCCGCUGAACUGAAACAUCUAAGUAGGCGGAGGAAGAGAAAACAAGAGUGAUUCCGAGAGUAGCGGCGAGCGAAAUCGGACUGGCCCAAACCGUUGUUGUUUCGGCAAUGACGGGGUUGUAGGACCACAAUGUUCUUUGCGCGACGAACCGGAAGCAGUUGGAAAGCUGCACGAUAUGGGUGACAGUCCCGUACGGGCAAGGAGCGUUAAAGAUAGUGGUAUCCUGAGUAGCGCG